GACGAACGCUGGCGGCGUGCCUAAUACAUGCAAGUCGAACGAGAGCGCCCGGUGCUUGCACUGGUCAAUCUAGUGGCGAACGGGUGAGUAACACGUGGGUAACCUGCCCAUCAGAGGGGGAUAACAUCCGGAAACGGAUGCUAAAACCGCAUAGGUCUUCGAACCGCAUGGUUUGAAGAGGAAAAGAGGCGCAAGCUUCUGCUGAUGGAUGGACCCGCGGUGCAUUAGCUAGUUGGUGAGGUAACGGCUCACCAAGGCCGUGAUGCAUAGCCGACCUGAGAGGGUGAUCGGCCACAUUGGGACUGAGACACGGCCCAAACUCCUACGGGAGGCAGCAGUAGGGAAUCUUCCGCAAUGGACGCAAGUCUGACGGAGCAACGCCGCGUGAGUGAAGAAGGUUUUCGGAUCGUAAAACUCUGUCGUUAGAGAAGAACAAGUGCUAGAGUAACUGUUAGCGCCUUGACGGUAGCUAACCAGAAAGCCACGGCUAACUACGUG
Molecule: ribosomal RNA, 498 nt
Filed under: uncultured bacterium
Lineage: Bacteria
Description: partial 16S ribosomal RNA
Rfam family: Bacterial small subunit ribosomal RNA
Source: RNAcentral